GUGGGGAAUAUUGGACAAUGGGCGAAAGCCUGAUCCAGCCAUGCCGCGUGUGUGAAGAAGGUCUUCGGAUUGUAAAGCACUUUAAGUUGGGAGGAAGGGCAGUAAGUUAAUACCUUGCUGUUUUGACGUUACCGACAGAAUAAGCACCGGCUAACUUCGUGCCAGCAGCCGCGGUAAUACGAAGGGUGCAAGCGUUAAUCGGAAUUACUGGGCGUAAAGCGCGCGUAGGUGGUUUUGUAAGUUGGAGGUGAAAUCCCCGGGCUCAACCUGGGAACUGCCUACAAAACUGCAUGACUAGAGUACGGUAGAGGGUAGUGGAAUUGCCUGUGUAGCGGUGAAAUGCGUAGAUAUAGGAAGGAACACCAGUGGCGAAGGCGACUACCUGGACUGAUACUGACACUGAGGUGCGAAAGCGUGGGGAGCAAACAGGAUUAGAUACCCCUGUAGUCC
RNAcentral lists this ribosomal RNA (450 nucleotides) under uncultured bacterium. RNAcentral's name for it is "bacterial SSU rRNA". It matches the Rfam family "Bacterial small subunit ribosomal RNA", at positions 354 to 796 of the family's 1533-position model. The record is from RNAcentral.